Molecule: ribosomal RNA, 765 nt
Filed under: uncultured Glomus
Lineage: Eukaryota; Fungi; Glomeromycota; Glomeromycetes; Glomerales; Glomeraceae
Description: SSU rRNA
Rfam family: Eukaryotic small subunit ribosomal RNA
Source: RNAcentral
UACCAUGGUGGUAACGGGUAACGGGGUGUUAGGGCACGACACCGGAGAGGGAGCCUGAGAAACGGCUACCACAUCCAAGGAUGGCAGCAGGCGCGCAAAUUACCCAAUCCCGACACGGGGAGGUAGUGACAAUAAAUAACAAUACGGGGUUCUUUAGGAUCUCGUAAUUGGAAUGAGUACGAUUUAAAUCUCUUAACGAGGAACAAUUGGAGGGCAAGUCUGGUGCCAGCAGCCGCGGUAAUUCCAGCUCCAAUAGCGUAUAUUAAAGUUGUUGCAGUUAAAAAGCUCGUAGUUGAAUUUCGGGGUCAGUAGGUCGGUCGUGCCACUGGUAUGAACUGGUUUUACUGAUUCCUCCCACUUGAAGAACUGUAAUGCCAUUAAUUUGGUGUUGCAGGGAAUCAGGACUGUUACUUUGAAAAAAUUAGAGUGUUUAAAGCAGGCUUUAGCUUGAAUACAUUAGCAUGGAAUAAUGAAAUAGGACGUUUGAUCCUAUUUUGUUGGUUUCUAGGAUUGACGUAAUGAUUAAUAGGGAUAGUUGGGGGCAUUAGUAUUCAAUUGUCAGAGGUGAAAUUCUUGGAUUUAUUGAAGACUAACUACUGCGAAAGCAUUUGCCAAGGAUGUUUUCAUUAAUCAAGAACGAAAGUUAGGGGAUCGAAGACGAUCAGAUACCGUCGUAGUCUUAACCAUAAACUAUGGCGACUAGGGAUCGGAUGAUGUUAAUUUUUUAAUGACUCAUUCGGCGCCUUACGGGAAACCAAAGUGUUU